RNAcentral lists this small RNA (39 nucleotides) under pig gut metagenome. RNAcentral's name for it is "abiF RNA". It matches the Rfam family "abiF RNA". RNAcentral also lists the same sequence under 1 other name. The record is from RNAcentral.
CCCGCCAAGCCUCUCAACGAUGCUCAAAUGUUUUGCGGG